GCCCAGACUCCUACGGGAGGCAGCAGUGAGGGAUAUUGGGCAAUGGGGGAAACCCUGACCCAGCGACGCCGCGUGAGGGAAGACGGUCUUCGGAUUGUAAACCUCUGUCUUUGGGGACGAAAAAGGACGGUACCCAAGGAGGAAGCUCCGGCUAACUACGUGCCAGCAGCCGCGGUAAUACGUAGGGGGCGAGCGUUAUCCGGAUUCACUGGGUGUAAAGGGCGUGCAGCCGGGCUGACAAGUCAGAUGUGAAAUCCCGCGGCUCAACCGCGGAACUGCAUUUGAAACUGUCAGUCUUGAGUACCGGAGAGGUCAUCGGAAUUCCUUGUGGAGCGGUGAAAUGCGUAGAUAUAAGGAAGAACACCAGUGGCGAAGGCGGAUGACUGGACGGCAACUGACGGUGAGGCGCGAAAGCGUGGGGAGCAAACAGGAUUAGAUACCCCGGUAGC
RNAcentral lists this ribosomal RNA (449 nucleotides) under uncultured bacterium. Its description in RNAcentral is "bacterial SSU rRNA". It matches the Rfam family "Bacterial small subunit ribosomal RNA", at positions 329 to 794 of the family's 1533-position model. The record is from RNAcentral.